UAGUGUUAUAGCUCUUUUAGAAUUUGUUUAGCAGGCUUCCUGGUUUUUGCCACU
Small nuclear RNA from Callithrix jacchus (white-tufted-ear marmoset), 54 nucleotides. Its record names the gene U7. It matches the Rfam family "U7 small nuclear RNA". Rfam says of the family: Animal histone pre-mRNAs are spliced by a different mechanism than nuclear pre-mRNAs and self-splicing introns. This processing involves the U7 snRNP, which contains only one RNA species: U7. The record is from Ensembl. NCBI's taxonomy places the organism in Eukaryota, Metazoa, Chordata, Mammalia, Primates, Cebidae.